Molecule: non-coding RNA, 1151 nt
Organism: Zootermopsis nevadensis
Lineage: Eukaryota; Metazoa; Arthropoda; Insecta; Blattodea; Termopsidae
Source: RefSeq, a predicted model, not a curated record
AAGUAUUUGAAGUACCAACUCUAACAACUCCUACAAGCUUGCUCGCGGCAACAUCUGGAUAUGCCGCAAAUACAAAUGGGUGUGGAUCCUAGAAUUUUGGUGCACAAUAGAUACAUUUAGUUAUUAGGCCGAUUGCGCCAUGUAUGCAAUCACAAUUGCUGGAGGAGCGUUAGGCAUAACCCAGCAUAACAAGAAGAUCCCCGAUCCAGCGAGCCCGACGACUUCCCCGAGCUGGAGGGAGGCAAGGGCACUGCCUGGAGUGUGAAAUCUUAGAAGGAAUUUGACACCACUUUCCGAUUCAGGUGCAAAGACCAUGGGUCGUUGCGCAACCGAGAAACAUACCGGACACUAACAUUUCUCAACAAAGUGGAGACGUUGGAUCACAGCCAAUCGUCGUCAAAGUAUGCUUCAGCAUCAUCGAACCCAGGACCUAGUUUCGACAACAGACACCACCAUUCCUAACAAGAUGCACUGCUAUGACCUUGCCCAUUCUCCAGCCCAACAACUGUGAGCAAGGGCCUAGUAACCAGGACGAAAUUCAAUGGAAUGUCAUGGGGAAGGUUGAGAGAGUUCAUUACACUGGGAGGAACAUGCUUCUGAUUCCAUUUUUGUACCAUGGUACAUGAUACUGGGUUGCAUAUUCAAUGGUAUACCUGUAUUUUAGUAAAGUUCUGUGAUGUACGAAAAUGCUGGCAAGAAAUUUAUUUCAAAAUACAUUUUAUAAUACAAGAAAGCCUUCUGCAUUAUCUUAAGUUAUCUCACGUGUUCCUUAGAUGUUUUGUACUGUAUACUAGACCUGAAUUUUUUAUUUCCACACUUUGUAAAUCUUUAAUGUUAAAAGAAAUAUUUGAAUUUGAGCCUGCAAUAGGUAUUAUGUUAGUAGAAGUACCACUUCCCGAUUCAUCCAUAGAGGAGUCUUCAAAUUUACUAUGAGAAACAACACAUUCACUUUCAUGUUUCAUAAUUACAAAAUAAUACGUCACUCUGUGGUCACUACAUUAAAAAAAGGAAAGUAUAAUAUAUACAUUUAUCUGCAUAUAACACACACCUUUAUUUUUGGAUUUGAAAAUUAAAAAAUGAAAUAUUUGUGUAUAACACGUUUAGGAACAAAAUGUUUUGUAGUAUAAGAUGUCUGAAGAUUAUGCAGACAG